UGGCAACGCCAGAUCUUUGACCCACUGAGCAAGGCCAGGGAUUGAACCUGCAACCUCAUGGUUCCUAGUCAGAUUCAUUAAUCACUGCACCAUGACGGGAACUCCCACAGCCACAGUCUUAAUAAAUUUUUUUUAAUUUGGGCCCUUUAAUGUUUAGCCUACACAAAGAAUAUAAGUAUGGCUUUCAUGGUAUUUUUUUAAAUCUUUGCCUAAAGAACAUUAUUUUUUUUUUCCAUUUAAUUUAAAUGCCAAAUACUUAAUUACUUUUCAUAUAAAUAUUUUCUCUCCUAUAGCAUUUAGUUCUUUCAUGUUCAUUUAAGUCUGUUCAAAGGUUAAUUCCUUCUUUGCUGGUUGCUCAAUGGUGACAUGUAAUAAAUGGUGAAUUACAUCUAUAAUUAUUACCAUCAGGAGAAAUGAUUACAUUUAUCAAAUCUCAUGUAGCAAUAGUUUUUAACUUUUUCUAAAGAUUCACUAUGAAAUUCAUAAUAAAUCUCUUGAUAACUUUUCAGGUAACGUUUGCUAUGUAUCACUAUCAUGCAGUAAAUGUAAGUAAUUUAUAAAAUCAUCUAAAAUAGCUUCAAAAUGUGGACAAAAAGAAAUUCACAUCAUUCAAAGAUCCUUUCUAUAGACUUAUUUUUUUUUAAAUCUCAGGAACUUUAAAAAUACAUUAAUUACAGACUAAUCAUUAAUUCCCACUAUUAAGUCUAUCAAUAAAUCCUAAAAUCCAGCUUUAAAUGACUGUAAAGAUAAGGUUAUCCUAUAGCCCACAAAUGUUAUGUGACACAUGUUUGCAAGGUAGUUUUUUACUGGGAAACAAAGCCAAGAUAAAACAAUACAUACUCUGCCUCCAUUUCCCUAUCCUAUUUUGGGAGUAUCUGCUUGGCCACAUACAAAUAACUACCACUUGAUAUUCAUGCCUAAUAAAAUUUUACAUGAAAAAAUCCUUUGCUUUUGAGACUUUUGCUUAAAAAUCUAAAUGUGGUAAAUUGUGGUAGAUUAUCACAUGAAUGCCCCUUUCUCACACUGGUUAUGUGUUUAGCCUUGUGACUAUUUUAGUUGAUUAGGCAUCAGCACACAUUGAUGCAAGCAGAAUCUUGGCAAGUGCUUAUACUUCAUACCUUGUCCUCUUAGAAUGCUUCCUCCAUUGUGCGAAGUUGUCUGGGAUAAAAGAGAGGUCUAGUUAUUCCAGUCAUUUCAUCCAUCUCAGCUGACAUCUUGGACAUUUGUGAGAUGAGGUGUCAAAUUGGGCCAUCAAGUCAUAAUUAAGCAUCCAUCUGACUGAAGCUAAGCAAAUGAGUCCAAGCAAAUCCAGUAGAACUGUCCAUUCAUCCCAUAUCAAACAUCUUACAUCCCAGAACUGUAGGAACUAAUAAGUUAUUAGUUUUAAAUCAAAGCUUUAGACUGAUUUUUAUGCUAUGGUAGAUUACUGGUAUAGAAACUCACCUUCAGUAAGCCAAUCCACUUUUUUAUUAGGCCAGUUACUUCUAGAAGAUGCAGUGCAUUGUAAGGCCAGUGAAUUCUGUGGAGGCAAGGCCAUUGUAGCACCCUUUUCACCAUAAGAUGAGUUCCUUGGUUGGAGUUAACAUUGAUGGAAAUCUCUGGGGUUAAGCUGACUUUCUAGUAAACCAUAGGUAUUGGUGUUGGCAGAAAUAUUAUCAGCAAGAAAAGCGUGUUUCCAUGAUGGAAGGGAUCUAACUAUAAUUGACAGAGGACUCAAUCUUCCAGUAUAUUUAAAUGAUUUUUGGGUACAUAAAAUUGAGUCAUAAUUUAAGUAAAAAAAUUUAAUGAAUUAAAUGAGACUCCUAAUUAACAUCGAAAAGGGCAUUAUUCAUGUUGUUCUAUGGAUAAGGUAGCCUGAAAAAAGGGCUAACUUCAUGCCAUCUCUUGUAUAUUACAAAUAAUAUUAGGUCCAGGGUUGUAGCAGUUUCUCCACCAUUCCAAAAACAGUACCAAGAAAUGCAAGUAGAAUAUAUAUUAACACAUAGGACAUGUAAUUGUACUUCUGAAUCUUAGGUUAUGUUUUUGGGAAGAAUGUGCUCAUGAUGAGGGAAUAUUUCAUUAGUAGACUCAUAAAAAAAGUUAUUGCUGAUCAGGCAGAGGUGAAUUUCCAGUGCUUUUACGUUUCUAGAAAUCAAAAAAUGUUCUGGCACAGCAAGAAAAUUCCGAUACAUUUCAGCAUCUCAGUGAAGUUGUCAUUUACUCAUAAUUAACUGGCCUCUAACUACAAAUAGAUGAAGAUAUCAAUACAUUUUUUAAACAUUGUAUAUGAUGAAAUAUGUUCUAGGAAUCACAUAUAUAUUUGGUACAUAUAUUAUUCUACGUCUAUAUAAGCAACCUAUGAACAUAUGGGUUACUUAGAAAUUUGCUCUGUAAUUUUUUUAAGAUGAAUUUGCUAUACUUUAUAUAUUAUCACAAUUUUGUUAUGGAUAGUACUAACCUUCUGUCAUUAAUGUGUGGCUAAAACCUCAUAGAAGGAUCACACAAACCUCUAGCAACUUUCCAUGCCUUGAGUAGCUUUCUAGUUUCUUCACAUAUGAAGUUUUCUCAAGUAUAUCUCCAAGACUCUGCAUUUUGAUAUCAGUUAUUUAUGGGAAUUAACAUGGAGAGAUGGAACAGCAGGUCUGUGUGGGAUGGUUGCAAAUUGAAGUCUAAAAAUGAGUGACGUUGUUGUAAUGAGGUAUAUACAUUUGAGGCAGAGGGUGGUAGAGGCAGAGGGAGAGAGAAGAAUAACAUAAUAUGAUCUGGUUUAUUUUAAAACCUUGGAAGAAAAAUCAAUCACUCGAAUACACGCAGGUAGAAAUCUCUUUAUUUUUAUACAAAUGUCUUUUCAUUCCAGAAAGACUUAAAUAAGACAAGAGAACAUAUAUGUGAAUGAAAAAAAAAACACGAUUUCUCUUUCAUUUUAGUUGUAUAUUCUAAUUUCUAUUAUAGUCAAUUAAUCUGCAUCUUUCUAGAGCUCAGAUAGGUCAGGAGAUGAAGGCAAGGCAAACUGGCAUACUUCAGAAGCAAGGAAGCCCAAGCAGAUAAAUUGUACAUUUCCAUGAACCUGGACAUCUUACUAUGGUAUAUUUGUUACUUAGAGGCAAUUUACAAGAAAAAUUAAGCAUUAAUCAGUUGAAGAAUUACAACCAAAAGGGGGAGAUAUAUAUAUAAAUAGUAUACUGUGGUUACUAUGCUGGGAUUAUCUAAUUCAUUAAAUGCAAUAUAUAAAAGAGGACAAAUCCUCUGUUUAUUUAGCUAAUAACACUAAACUCUCAAGUGGGUGAGCAAUAAACUUGCCAGGUUGAUUACCUAGUGUUGUAUGUGUAAUCACUGCGCUAAUGUGAGCACGCUUGCUGGCUUGGAUUGGGGUUCUCUUUUGCUUUGAGAAC
This 3371-nucleotide long non-coding RNA is filed under the name Sus scrofa (pig). RNAcentral describes it as "lncRNA (ENSSSCG00000059855.1)". The record is from RNAcentral. Lineage: Eukaryota; Metazoa; Chordata; Mammalia; Artiodactyla; Suidae.